AUUGAACGCUGUCGGCAGUCUUAACACAUGCAAGUCCAGCGGUGCGGCGGACGGGCGAGUAACGCCUAGGCAUCUGCCUGGUAGUGGCGGAUAACGUCCGGCAUCGGGCUCUAUUUCCGCAUACUCUCACAUGGGCCUAGGUCGGAUUGGCUAGUGGGUGGGGUAAAGGCCUACCAAGGCGACGAUCCGUACCUUGUCUGAUAGGAUGAUCAGUCAGACUGGAACUGAGACACGGUCGAGACUCCUACGGGAGGCAGCAGUGGGGAAUAGUGGGCAAUGGGCGAAAGCCUGAUCCAGCCAUGCCGCGUGUGUGAAGAAGGUCUUCGGAUUGUAAAGCACUUUAAGUUGGGAGGCGUUACCAACAGAAUAAGCACCGGCUAGCUUCGUGCCAGCAGCCGCGGUAAUAC
Molecule: ribosomal RNA, 407 nt
Filed under: uncultured bacterium
Lineage: Bacteria
Description: partial 16S ribosomal RNA
Rfam family: Bacterial small subunit ribosomal RNA
Source: RNAcentral